Molecule: ribosomal RNA, 721 nt
Filed under: Pseudomonas koreensis
Lineage: Bacteria; Pseudomonadati; Pseudomonadota; Gammaproteobacteria; Pseudomonadales; Pseudomonadaceae
Description: bacterial SSU rRNA
Rfam family: Bacterial small subunit ribosomal RNA
Source: RNAcentral
AGAGUGAUCCUGGCUCAGAUUGACGCUGCGCAGGCCUAACACAUGCAAGUCGAGCGGAUGAAAGGAGCUUGCUCCUGGAUUCAGCGGCGGACGGGUGAGUAAUGCCUAGGAUCUGCCUGGUAGUGGGGGACAACGUUUCGAAAGGAACGCUAAUACCGCAUACGUCCUACGGGAGAAAGCAGGGGACCUUCGGGCCUUGCGCUAUCAGAUGAGCCUAGGUCGGAUUAGCUAGUUGGUGAGGUAAUGGCUCACCAAGGCGACGAUCCGUAACUGGUCUGAGAGGAUGAUCAGUCACACUGGAACUGAGACACGGUCCAGACUCCUACGGGAGGCAGCAGUGGGGAAUAUUGGACAAUGGGCGAAAGCCUGAUCCAGCCAUGCCGCGUGUGUGAAGAAGGUCUUCGGAUUGUAAAGCACUUUAAGUUGGGAGGAAGGGUUGUAGAUUAAUACUCUGCAAUUUUGACGUUACCGACAGAAUAAGCACCGGCUAACUCUGUGCCAGCAGCCGCGGUAAUACAGAGGGUGCAAGCGUUAAUCGGAAUUACUGGGCGUAAAGCGCGCGUAGGUGGUUUGUUAAGUUGGAUGUGAAAUCCCCGGGCUCAACCUGGGAACUGCAUCCAAAACUGCAAGCUAGAGUAUGGUAGAGGGUGGUGGAAUUUCCUGUGUAGCGGUGAAAGCGUAGAUAUAGGAAGGAACACCAGGAAGGACCACCUGGACUAUA